Molecule: small RNA, 107 nt
Filed under: Marmota monax (woodchuck)
Lineage: Eukaryota; Metazoa; Chordata; Mammalia; Rodentia; Sciuridae
Source: RNAcentral
GCCAGGCAUGGUGGUGUACACCUGUAAUCCCAGCAGCUCAGGAGGCUGGGGCAGGAGAAUUGCAAGUUUAAGGCCAGCCUCCACAACUUAGCAAUACCAUGUCUCAA